GUGAGGUAGUGGCUCACCAAGGCGACGACGGGUAGCCGGCCUGAGAGGGCGACCGGCCACACUGGGACUGAGACACGGCCCAGACUCCUACGGGAGGCAGCAGUGGGGAAUAUUGCACAAUGGGCGAAAGCCUGAUGCAGCGACGCCGCGUGAGGGAUGACGGCCUUCGGGUUGUAAACCUCUUUCAGCAGGGAAGAAGCGAAAGUGACGGUACCUGCAGAAGAAGCGCCGGCUAACUACGUGCCAGCAGCCGCGGUAAUACGUAGGGCGCAAGCGUUGUCCGGAAUUAUUGGGCGUAAAGAGCUCGUAGGCGGCUUGUCACGUCGGUUGUGAAAGCCCGGGGCUUAACCCCGGGUCUGCAGUCGAUACGGGCAGGCUAGAGUUCGGUAGGGGAGAUCGGAAUUCCUGGUGUAGCGGUGAAAUGCGCAGAUAUCAGGAGGAACACCGGUGGCGAAGGCGGAUCUCUGGGCCGAUACUGACGCUGAGGAGCGAAAGCGUGGGGAGCGAACAGGAUUAGAUACCCUGGUAGUCCACGCCGUAAACGGUGGGCACUAGGUGUGGGCAACAUUCC
RNAcentral lists this ribosomal RNA (571 nucleotides) under Streptomyces sp. RNAcentral describes it as "bacterial SSU rRNA". It matches the Rfam family "Bacterial small subunit ribosomal RNA", at positions 252 to 835 of the family's 1533-position model. The record is from RNAcentral. Lineage: Bacteria; Bacillati; Actinomycetota; Actinomycetes; Kitasatosporales; Streptomycetaceae.